UACGUAGGAGGCGAGCGUUGUCCGGAUUUACUGGGCGUAAAGGGUGCGUAGGCGGUCGGGUAAGUCUGACGUGAAAUCUCCAAGCUCAACUUGGAAAUGGCGUCGGAUACUAUUCGGCUCGAGGAAUGGAGGGGAGACUGGAAUUCUCGGUGUAGCAGUGAAAUGCGUAGAUAUCGAGAGGAACACCAGUGGCGAAGGCGAGUCUCUGGACAUUUCCUGACGCUGAGGUGCGAAAGCUAGGGUAGCAAACGGG
This 253-nucleotide ribosomal RNA is filed under the name uncultured bacterium. RNAcentral describes it as "partial 16S ribosomal RNA". It matches the Rfam family "Bacterial small subunit ribosomal RNA", at positions 524 to 776 of the family's 1533-position model. The record is from RNAcentral.